RNAcentral lists this ribosomal RNA (497 nucleotides) under uncultured bacterium. RNAcentral's name for it is "partial 16S ribosomal RNA". It matches the Rfam family "Bacterial small subunit ribosomal RNA", at positions 28 to 507 of the family's 1533-position model. The record is from RNAcentral.
GGCGAACGCUGGCGGCGUGCCUAAUACAUGCAAGUUGAGCGCUGAAGGUUGGUACUUGUACCGACUGGAUGAACAGCGAACGGGUGAGUAACGCGUGGGGAAUCUGCCUUUGAGCGGGGGACAACAUUUGGAAACGAAUGCUAAUACCGCAUAAAAACUUUAAACACAAGUUUUAAGUUUGAAAGAUGCAAUUGCAUCACUCAAAGAUGAUCCCGCGUUGUAUUAGCUAGUUGGUGAGGUAAAGGCUCACCAAGGCGAUGAUACAUAGCCGACCUGAGAGGGUGAUCGGCCACAUUGGGACUGAGACACGGCCCAAACUCCUACGGGAGGCAGCAGUAGGGAAUCUUCGGCAAUGGACGAAAGUCUGACCGAGCAACGCCGCGUGAGUGAAGAAGGUUUUCGGAUCGUAAAACUCUGUUGGUAGAGAAGAACGUUGGUGAGAGUGGAAAGCUCAUCAAGUGACGGUAACUACCCAGAAAGGGACGGCUAACUACGUG